AGUCCUCCAAGGUCACACAAGCUCUCCUUCAGUAUUUCAUGCCCAGACUCGGCCUACCUGCCUCACUACAAUCAGAUAAUGGACCUGCUUUCUUUUCUUCAAUAACUCCGCCGGCCUCCUCUCCUCUGAACAUCCAGUGAACUUACACACCCUCUACCGGCCAGCCCCAGUCUUCAGGCGAGCCCAUUCUAGCAUUCCCACCCACUUUCUCUGCAAGACUCUCAACCACUCAUCAGCUACCUCUUAUUGGACCACUUUCGAGCCUUCACCAACCAGUCUCUCGGGGAGAUCAUGCUGUGGCAACCCCUCAUUCCAACCAUGAGGCAUCUAUACGGAGUCCCAGCUGACUACAGUCAAAGCCCAUCCCCCUAUGAUCCUGACAUCUCCCCUCAGCUGGAAGCCAUAAAACAAAAAGGCUGGAAUGUUAGAUCUGAUCCAAUAAUCGAAUCCAUCGCCCCUUCCCUGGAAACUUACCUUAGACCACUUCACAACCAGCAUUCCCUGUCACUGAGACCCCAUCCCAAUGGCGAAGACCAUUAUCUUUCCCCUCCGAACUUUCCCAGGAUCCGUAUCGGCCCAGAGUUCCCCACUGAAAAAGCCCUCCUAGCAUCCUUUAAAACCUCUGUCUCCCCAUCCCUGGGAGCUGAUGCCAUUUUGGGGCUCAGCCCAUCUGGUCUCCGGAUGACCUAAUACAUUUAUAAUCCUGUGUCACUUUUGGCCUCGUGUGGUCCUCCUUCAGCAAUACUAACAGUGCUGACAUGGGUCACCUGGGGUUUACCUCCUGUUAACGGAAGCAGUGGAACUAUCCCAGUUUAUCAGAGGAAUACCAAUAAUGUCAAACCUCUCUAAAUUUGA
This is a long non-coding RNA of Pipistrellus kuhlii (Kuhl's pipistrelle), 855 nucleotides long. RefSeq lists it as uncharacterized. The transcript is spliced from 3 exons. The record is from RefSeq and is a predicted model, not a curated record. NCBI's taxonomy places the organism in Eukaryota, Metazoa, Chordata, Mammalia, Chiroptera, Vespertilionidae.